Molecule: non-coding RNA, 114 nt
Organism: Acanthosepion pharaonis
Lineage: Eukaryota; Metazoa; Mollusca; Cephalopoda; Sepiida; Sepiidae
Source: the annotation of a GenBank genome assembly
CUACGGCCAUAUCACAUUGAAACACCGGAUCUCGUACGAUCACUCGAAGUUAAGCAACAUCGAGUCUGCUCAGUAUCUAGAUGGGUGAUAGCUUGGGAAUACCGGGUGGUGUAA